RNAcentral lists this transfer RNA (75 nucleotides) under Chloroflexota bacterium. Its description in RNAcentral is "tRNA-Cys". It matches the Rfam family "tRNA". Rfam says of the family: Transfer RNA (tRNA) molecules are approximately 80 nucleotides in length. Their secondary structure includes four short double-helical elements and three loops (D, anti-codon, and T loops). Further hydrogen bonds mediate the characteristic L-shaped molecular structure. tRNAs have two regions of fundamental functional importance: the anti-codon, which is responsible for specific mRNA codon recognition, and the 3' end, to which the tRNAs corresponding amino acid is attached (by aminoacyl-tRNA synthetases). tRNAs cope with the degeneracy of the genetic code in two manners: having more than one tRNA (with a specific anti-codon) for a particular amino acid; and 'wobble' base-pairing, i.e. permitting non-standard base-pairing at the 3rd anti-codon position. Lineage: Bacteria; Bacillati; Chloroflexota. RNAcentral also lists the same sequence under 2 other names. The record is from RNAcentral.
GGCGACGUAGCCAAGUGGUAAGGCGGGGGUCUGCAAAACCUCUAUUCACCGGUUCGAAUCCGGUCGUCGCCUCCA